Molecule: long non-coding RNA, 717 nt
Filed under: Salvia miltiorrhiza (redroot sage)
Lineage: Eukaryota; Viridiplantae; Streptophyta; Magnoliopsida; Lamiales; Lamiaceae
Description: long non-coding RNA (SMIL_LNC010130)
Source: RNAcentral
UUCAGGAACCAUAAUCGAUAGCUGUUCACAUGUAUCGAUUGGUAUUAAUGGCUCUUAUAGUUUCUGAUAAUUCUUGUACCAACAGUGAAAAAUGAGCAAUUUUGUUCAAUUUUGCUUUUAUUUUUUAUUUUGUAAUCUAUAUCCUGUUUUAAAAUUUAUACACCUUUGCCCUGUGUCGUUGGACCCAAGAGGACGACGGCGGCAUUAAUACAACAAAACAGCAGCGUCGAUCCAGAGCAACUGCGGCCGCUCGCCUAUCUCCAGAAAUACCGCGGCGGCGUAUGUCUGCAUCAGAAUUUAGAGAUUCAGAUGAGUGUAGGAGGUGAGGCGCGAACUCGCCGGAUUUUAUGAAGGUAGCGUCGAUUUUGGAAGAAAUAGGGCUAGGGCUUCUAUCCUCUUUUGUGUGUGAAGGUGAAUCUGCCCUUGAAAGAGAGUGAGUCGAAGAGUUAGGGAGAGGGAGAGGCGCCAAUGGCGAUGACCAUGGCGGCCGGCGACUGAAGCAAUAAAGAACCCCGACGGAGCGGCGAUUUCAGAGGACGAAGCUAGGGCUCGAUUCUUUUGAAUCUGUGUACUUUAAAAUUUUGAGAAUUUGAGAAAGAUUGAGAGAGGGCGGACGAUGGGGCUGGAGUCAGAGGCGGUGGGGAAAGCCGACCUCGCCGGAGGGAGGCGGCGGGUUACUGGAGUGAGAGGCGAACACGAUGAGAGAGAGGGAGAGGG